UACGUAGGGACCGAGCGUUGUCCGGAUUCAUUGGGCGUAAAGGGCUCGUAGGCGGUCUGUCGCGUCGGGAGUGAAAACUCAGGGCUUAACCCUGAGCCUGCUUCCGAUACGGGCAGACUAGAGGUAUGCAGGGGAGAACGGAGUUCCUGGUGUAGCGGUGGAAUGCGCAGAUAUCAGGAGGAACACCGGUGGCGAAGGCGGUUCUCUGGGCAUUACCUGACGCUGAGGAGCGAAAGUGUGGGGAGCGAACAGG
Molecule: ribosomal RNA, 253 nt
Filed under: uncultured bacterium
Lineage: Bacteria
Description: partial 16S ribosomal RNA
Rfam family: Bacterial small subunit ribosomal RNA
Source: RNAcentral